UAAAAGGAUGAAAAGGGAACCUAGUUCAAUAAAUGGUCUCAGUUCUUUGGCUCUGAGGAUGUACCGGGGGAGGGAAAGAAGGCUUUUGUCGUGUGCCUCGUCACUCUUCUUUCUCCAAAUUUGACCGCAUCCCGCACUCCACCAAUGCGCUCUGCUGGAAGUUUUCCGACUCCAAUGAUCUUGAGCAUCUCACCCUGCCCAUCAGCUGUGAUGUUCCACACUUAGAGCUCAGUACCAGAUGAAACAGCCUCUUCCUUGGAGACCUGCAGAACUGACCCUGCAGUGCUGCUGUACUACAGCUGAGCCGUGGCAGAACUGACCCUGCUGUGCUCCCCGAUGCUGGAGCUGAAAUCCUGCCCCCAGCAAACCCCCCAGCACGCCGGGCUCAGCCUCUCCUCUGAACAGGGCAGGGCUCCCAUUGGUGUGACGAGCACAUCGUGUCUGACACCAGGGUAAUUUCUGGAGAGGCACAACGGGGCGAGGUGGGAAAGGGGGCAGCUGUUCCAGAAGGGCAGAGCCAGGAGUGAUGAGAUGACAGGCGUUACAGGAGAGAGGGAUGGUGAGAAAAGGCUGUGCUGGACCACCCAGAGGAACCUAUGGAUGCCACUGGAGAAAGGCUGCACCACCUACCGAGACCAAGACACAUGGAGACACGAGAGCAGCCCGGCAUCACCUUUGAAGAGGACAACCAAUUUUGUCACAACAGUGAUAAAAAGCACAACAGCAGCUGAGAUCUCCAGUGAGGCUACAGGCACAAUUCUCUUCAGAGUCACACUGGAUCCCCAGCAGCAGCCAAUUCUGUUGCAACAGAAUUGACUUGAGUUGAUUUCAAAUAUAUUUUUCUUUAUCUUUUUUUUUUUUUUUAACUGAAAUAUGCGCUUUGUCCUUACAGGAAAAAAAAUAAUGAAGGAGGUGGAACAAAAUAAUAUCAGAUCAUAUACUUGAGACUUCUUGCACAAAGCCAAAGUAUCUGCUAGGAAUGUAGUUAUACACAUUUCAGUCUCACCCAAUGGUCUAGAAAAGAAAAGGGAAAGAAAAUAUUAACAUAUCCAGUAUGAUGAUGCAAAGCUAGAUUGCUGUAAAAAUGCUGAACUGUAAUGGAAUACAUGCCCUGCCUUACUGGGCCCCUCUGAAGCUUCACUUUAAAUACCAGUAGCUCAGCAGCAUGAAAGCACUGAAGAACUCAUUUGACAAGAUCACCAACCCAGGUGAGUGAUUCAUUUUCAUCAAAACUCACCCAACAGAAAACCUUGGGUUUGGAUCUAUGCAGCAUGUCCCACAGCAGCUUCUCACCGGCAGGUUCAUCUAUUCACAUCUCUCCACCAGCAGAGCAUUUGGGAACAACCUUGGUUUAAAGUCUGUUUACCACUCUGUGGGUGUUACACUGUCAUUCCAUCUCACCUUUCCAGAUGCCCUUCUGCAGGUCUGGUGGCUGUGCCUUGCUUUUGCUAGAGGAGAGAGUGAGAUCCAAACAACAACUCCUGCAACAAGGGCAACAAAAUAACAUUUUUGUUUAUAUAGCUAUAGAAAAACCUAUAUCAUGUUUUAAAAAUCAACCUGAUGUUUUUCUGAGGAUCCAAACUUACAGCAGGAGGAAAAUAUGCUAUAUAAAAAUAAGGAAAAAAAAAAGAGAAAAGAAAAGGAAGCUGUAUUUUUUGAGUUGGAUCAUUCUGCCUCUUGCCUGUCAAGCAAUAUGGUCCUGGUAGCCUCUCUGGUUCUUCUUGUACUGCAGUUGAUGAACAGGGAUUUUCCAGAGCAGAAAAAUCUCCCCUGUUGUCAUCACCCAAAUGUGCACCAGAACCACAGAGAAGGAACUGCAGAUUUAAAGUUCAGGUGAUUUCCAUUGGAUUGCCAGCAUGGCCUGGAGGCCUACCUUUAUCCAUUACUGACACACCUUCAUACUUCAAGAUAUGCAAGACAUCAUGAUGAGAAGAAAAAUCAAAUUAAAUAAAUGGUGUGAUGCCGGAAUUGCUGUCAUCUUUCUAGGAAAGGGAAACUGAGGCAAAGGAAGGGCUACAUCCAUAUAAAUAAUGAGGCAUUCAAUUCCCACUAUUUCUCUGUGUGGAGUUACAAGAAGAUUGCCUUCAAAGAAGGACUAGGCAGUGUGUUCAUGGUCAUGCUGUUGGACCAGGAGCAGAGCACAGGCAAUAGGGCUGUAAGAAUUUGACAGUGCCCUUGGAGCAAGCCCUACCCUUCUCCAUGGGCAGACAGGCUUCUCACCACAUGGGUCAUCUUUGUCACACUUACUUCGGUUUAAAAGUAGGAAUUUUACCUGUGUAAAAGUGAAUGGCAAGUUGUUUGUCACCCAAGCAGUUUAUUCUGAAUGAAGAAUGAGAGGAGCAGAUUUUAGGUCCCACACGUUUAAGGAGCAAUGCACUAAUUGGCACUGCUGUUCACAGUGCAGGCAGAUACAUUCAAAGGCAAUAGCAAUGCCCUUUAUACUUCCAGUUACACUGAAGGAAGAUUUGGCUCACUCUUUACUGGACACACAGACUUGGGUUUUAGCUAUUUGCAACAAGUAGAAAACUAUCCUGAAUACACCUGAACUGCUUACAGUUUUCUACUGCCACACAGGAUGUCUGUACCUUGUCAGGUAAAAAGCAUGCCCAUUAAAGUAUGACACCAAUGAGCAGAAUUUAUUUCAACAAGAGAACUAAUCAGAAAGCAGAUGUAUAGAUCCAUUCCCCAGAAAUAAUACACCAAAUGACAUUUAAGUAGUGGGCACCAUUCUGUCCCAUACUCAGGCAAUGCAGACCGGUCUUACUGAUUUUUUUCAUAGCAUAUGCAUGAAGUUCAAAAUUCAAACCCAAAUAUUUCCCUAACCAGAAAGGAGACACAGUCUUUCAGACUACAGAUUCAAGAUGUGUUUUAAUGACAGUUUAAAGAAAAGUAUGAAGCUUAUGGGAGGAGGUCCAAAAGGACAAAUGAAACAGAACCUUCCACACUCUCCCCAUUCCUGAUACCACAGCCUGUUUGUUGGCAGUAACAAUGUGUGACACAUCACAUGGGGCUCUGCUGAGAUGAACUCCACACCCCUGAGCCUGAAUCACUGAUAAAGCCAUGACAUGGAAAAAAGAGCAGCCUGGGUGCCUUCACAACAGCCAAGCUCUGGGACUCAGCAACGCCUGCCAUAAUCCUGUUAUCUCCUGAAGUUCCUAUUUCAAAAUGUCUUUGUGGAGACUGAAUGAGAGGCACCAGCUGGGGCUCCUGUACAAGAUUUCUGUCCUUCUGGAGGAGCAGAGUGCUAUUUUAAGGGCAGAGCCACUGGAGAAUCAUAAGACAACCAGCAGCCACCAAACUCUGAAGGGGCUGGCACCUGGUUUGCCUGACUGAAGCCUCACACAAAGCAGCCCAUUCCACACAGAUUUGGCUUUUAAUAUCGGUUAGGGCAUUUUUUUCACUAAAGGGAGAACACAUACAAAGAAAUGCUGGAGGGAUCCUACCAGCAACAAACGUUCUUUGGGGUUCUCCCUUGUUCCCAGCAGCAGACAAGGUCUCAGUGGCAUGGGGGACAUUUCAAGCAGAAACAUGCAAGCCAUUCAACCAUUAAGCCAUUUAACCUUUCAAGACUAAAGCUAAGUGACACAGCUAAUCCACCAGUGAAAGUCUGUGUGUUCUCUGUCUCUCCCAUGAGUGACAUCCCAGGCACUGCAGAAGAAUGAUGGUAAAUUGCAUUUUUUCCAGUUUCAUGGUGGAACUAGUUAAAAAUUUUUUAGGCUAUACUCUGGAUGUAACAUUAAAUACAGCCACUGCUAAUAACUUAGCUUAAUUAUUAGCUGAUUUAUUAAUAUACAUGCAGGCAGAAGAUUUCAAUUAUUUUUAAUUAUAUGGAAAGUUCCAAGUGUCUUUUUUAUUCCAUUAAGAUCGUUCAAAACUCUGUAAAACCUGCAAGUGCUUAAUUCUUUACAUGACAGUUUUUAAUUAAUUUGAACUCAGGCUAAUUAAAAUAUUUGUAGAUUGCAACAACCUAA
Molecule: long non-coding RNA, 3971 nt
Organism: Melospiza melodia melodia
Lineage: Eukaryota; Metazoa; Chordata; Aves; Passeriformes; Passerellidae
Exons: 3
Source: RefSeq, a predicted model, not a curated record